AAUGCGGCGAAUUUGUAUUGAGAAAUUGACGCACGACAGACGCUUUCCACCAUUGCACAAUUGCGUGCAAAGUAACGGGUGAACAGUUGCGUGGAAGGGGUGGCGGGAUGCCGGUUUGAUUAAUCUGUCUCCUAUUGCAGUUGGGCCGGCCCUCUGAAACAAACCUAGGCCAAAUGAGAGCUAUCCAGCAGUAUGUCUGGAGUGUCGGCGAAUCAGGCAAGAUUAGACAAGAGCAAGGCAAAGUAUUCAACCAUAAAAAAUAAACCUGUGGGAAACCAGAAUCGGAGCCCAGCCAACAGACAUGGCCUACAGAGUCUGGGCAAGGUUGUGCCCACGCGAAGGAUUCCUGCCCCCGCUAACCUGCCAAGCUUGAAGGCCGAGAACAGUGGUAACGACCCGAACGUUUUCCUCGUACCGCUGGGCGGUCAGGGAUGGGGAUCCAGUAAUGGCUCCAGCUCGGCAUCGGACAGUCAGAAGAAGGCGGCCGGUGGUGCGGCCAGUGGCGCGGCGGCGGCGGCGGC
This is a long non-coding RNA of Pollicipes pollicipes, 521 nucleotides long. RefSeq lists it as uncharacterized. NCBI's taxonomy places the organism in Eukaryota, Metazoa, Arthropoda, Thecostraca, Pollicipedomorpha, Pollicipedidae. The transcript is spliced from 4 exons. The record is from RefSeq and is a predicted model, not a curated record.